This 429-nucleotide ribosomal RNA is filed under the name Chloroflexota bacterium. RNAcentral describes it as "Chloroflexi bacterium partial 16S ribosomal RNA". It matches the Rfam family "Bacterial small subunit ribosomal RNA", at positions 355 to 776 of the family's 1533-position model. Lineage: Bacteria; Bacillati; Chloroflexota. The record is from RNAcentral.
UGGGGAAUAUUGCACAAUGGGCGCAAGCCUGAUGCAGCCAUGCCGCGUGUAUGAAGAAGGCCUUCGGGUUGUAAAGUACUUUCAGUCGGGAGGAAGGUGGUAAGGUUAAUAACCUUAUCAAUUGACGUUACCGACAGAAGAAGCACCGGCUAACUCCGUGCCAGCAGCCGCGGUAAUACGGAGGGUGCAAGCGUUAAUCGGAAUUACUGGGCGUAAAGCGCACGCAGGCGGUUGAUUGAGUCAGAUGUGAAAUCCCCGGGCUUAACCCAGGAAUUGCAUCUGAUACUGGUCAGCUAGAGUCUUGUAGAGGGGGGUAGAAUUCCAUGUGUAGCGGUGAAAUGCGUCGAGAUGUGGAGGAAUACCGGUGGCGAAGGCGGCCCCCUGGACAAAGACUGACGCUCAGGUGCGAAAGCGUGGGGAGCAAACAGG